GGAUCAGUGAUGACUUCUAUAUAGCAUGCAAUGAUGCAUUCCUUGGAAAGCUGAACAAAAUGAGUGGGAACUCAGUAAACUAUCGUCUUUGUCAAACUGAGGUCC
RNAcentral lists this small nucleolar RNA (105 nucleotides) under Cebus imitator (Panamanian white-faced capuchin). RNAcentral's name for it is "Small nucleolar RNA SNORD116 (ENSCCAG00000000453.1)". It matches the Rfam family "Small nucleolar RNA SNORD116". Rfam says of the family: HBII-85 is a member of the C/D class of snoRNAs, which contain the C (UGAUGA) and D (CUGA) box motifs. The record is from Rfam by way of RNAcentral. Lineage: Eukaryota; Metazoa; Chordata; Mammalia; Primates; Cebidae.